RNAcentral lists this ribosomal RNA (254 nucleotides) under uncultured bacterium. RNAcentral describes it as "partial 16S ribosomal RNA". It matches the Rfam family "Bacterial small subunit ribosomal RNA", at positions 524 to 776 of the family's 1533-position model. The record is from RNAcentral.
UACGUAGGGGGCAAGCGUUGUCCGGAUUUAUUGGGCGUAAAGAGCUCGUAGGCGGUUUGGUAAGUCUGGUGUGAAAUCUCCACGCUCAACGUGGAGGGGCCACCCGAUACUGCCAUGACUGGAGUCCGGUAGAGGAGUGUGGAAUUCCCGGUGUAGCGGUGAAAUGCGCAGAUAUCGGGAGGAACACCAGUGGCGAAGGCGGCUACCUGGACCAGCACUGACACUGAAGCACGAAAGCGUGGGGAGCAAACAGG